AAUGCAUGGUGUGGAUACUUCAUAAGUAAUUCCUUAAAUCUCUCCCAAGAUUCAUAUAUUGAUUCUUCAUCUAGUUUUGUGAAGAAUGUAAUGAUAAUCCUAUUGCU
Molecule: small nucleolar RNA, 107 nt
Organism: Dendrobium catenatum
Lineage: Eukaryota; Viridiplantae; Streptophyta; Magnoliopsida; Asparagales; Orchidaceae
Source: RefSeq, a predicted model, not a curated record